UUUCUUGAACUUCGCAAAUAUUACAAUUGUUUAAAAGGAGAUUUUUUACCAUAAAAUGUUAUUUAUUUAGGAUAUUACCCUAUAAUGUAACCUCUAAAAAUAUGAUGAAUGGCAUUUAUUCACCUUUAGUGUUUUGAGAUUUAUUUUAGAUACCGUUCUUAAAACUCAUCCUGUAACUAACUAAACGUUUUCUAAAUGCACUUUUUAUUAAAAUAUACUCAAUUUUAAACUUGUGCAUUUCUUAUGAAACUUCCGUUUCUUUUUAAAUGAAAAAAAAAUUUCGAUAUUAAAAACAUGACCGAAUGAAAUUGCAACUGGAGUCAUUAUUAUCCAAUUAUUCUGUCCAACGGCGAAGAAGAUGACCACGUUGAGUGAGAAAAGGGUUCUAUCUACAGUUCGAAACCUGGAGCUCACCGGUAUAUAGCUGGUAUCAGAUUGCAGAGGAUCAAGUGACCACUGGUCCGAGAAAGCUCUACAUCCUGUUUGUUAGUGACUCCAUGAAACGGUUUUGAAUGACAAUCCUGCAUCAUUAAGAGCUGAAAAAAAAACUACCCUGGUUUCCGAUCACAGAAGAAAAUCUUUCCAAUAUAAUUCAUUGCAUGUGAACCUGAUUUUGUUAAACACUGGAGCACUGGAAGCCUAAACAACAGGAGCUGUGGUUAUUACCAGUGAUCACCUGCAAGGAAUUCAGAGAUAACUUGUAAAGAAAUGUCGCUCCUCCGAAGGUUAAUUUAGAUUCAAAAUUAAUUAUUCAUACUAUUUUAACAAAAUGAAAAGAUAAAAGUAAAAAGAAGAAAGGUAGGAAAAGGGAUUGAGAUUACAAAAUAUGUAAGCUUUUUUCAUCCUUUGUUUUCUUUAUAUUCCAGCAUGAUGCUUUUUAACUGACUUUUUACUAUAAAGAAUAAUAACAAUUACCUAAUUUGUUUAUGUGUAUGUUUUUCUAUAUAAUGAAGUUAUUAGAGAUCUUAAGCUUCAUUUCGGAUAACAUACAUUUUUGUAAUUUAUUCUUAGUGGUACUUAUAAAAUUCUGAUAGUAAUAAGCCUUCUUUGAAUCUGGGAUAUAGUAUUUUUCAAGUUCGUGUGAGAUAUACAUUCAUGUAUCAUUUCUCCAUAUAAAUUUCUGACACUGAAAAUGUUUUUACAUUUAUAAAAGUUAUUUUUACGUUAAGUGAUGAAUUCAUAUUUAUUUAUUUUUUGUUUUUAUUUUUAUGGAUAAUAUGUCAGUUUAGGUGCUACGUCAAUUGUGCAAUCAUAAAAAAGAAAUUACAGAAGUUUAAGAAAAUAGUCACAAAAGUACAGGACAUUAAUAGCAUAGUGUUUAACAUUUUAUAUCAAUAAAGCAACUGUAUUUGCCUUUUUUAUCGCUGCUAUAUUGCUAUGCAAAUUCAUUAUAAGUAAUUUUUGAAAUUAUUCUGCAUUUUUUGAGUUACAAAAUCUUCAUUAUUUACUAUAGAAACGUAUGGAUAACGUUAUCAUCUGAGCAAAUGGAAAUUAUGUAAAAAUAUAAAUAUGCAAUUUUUGCGUACCAUGUAAAAUGUUUUUAUCUUUUACAUGACAUUUUCAUUCUCAUUAGAAUUCAUUCCACUUCGGUUUUGGGAGCAAAAUCUGAAGCAUAUUACUGUUCCUAAUGACGAAUUGGCUUCAUUCUCGUUUCAUCGAUUUGACCAUUAGUACCGGUUCGGCAUAUUUCAAGUUCCUGUAUUUGCAAAUUUCUAUUUCUCACUCCCAGAUGUUUUAUUGUAUCGUUUAAAAUGUACUCUGCUUGU
Molecule: long non-coding RNA, 1766 nt
Organism: Stegodyphus dumicola
Lineage: Eukaryota; Metazoa; Arthropoda; Arachnida; Araneae; Eresidae
Source: RefSeq, a predicted model, not a curated record